AUGGGAUGAAGGAAUCUAUUGUGUUGGGAAAACUCCUCACGGAUGGCUUGGGAUGUUGCAUCUGGAAACCACAUGCAUGGAACGAGCGCGUGGAUGGAAGGUGAUUCUGGAAAGCUGGCUGCAUUGCAGGAUGAGCUCCAUCACGUGAAGAUGCUGGCUUGACUUGAACUCGGGCUGCCGGGCAUUGGGCUCAAACCCAAUGUUCUUGGAUUACUUGCAGUCAAACACAAA
This 231-nucleotide long non-coding RNA is filed under the name Phoenix dactylifera (date palm). Its description in RNAcentral is "long non-coding RNA (PDAC_LNC007527)". The record is from RNAcentral. Lineage: Eukaryota; Viridiplantae; Streptophyta; Magnoliopsida; Arecales; Arecaceae.